GAGUUUGAUCUUGGCUCAGAUUGAACGCUGGCGGCAGGCCUAACACAUGCAAGUCGGGCGGUAGAGAGAAGCUUGCUUCUCUUGAGAGCGGGCGGACGGGUGAGUAAUGCCUAGGAAUCUGCCUGGUAGUGGGGGAUAACGCUCGGAAACGGACGCUAAUACCGCAUACGUCCUACGGGAGAAAGCAGGGGACCUUCGGGCCUUGCGCUAUCAGAUGAGCCUAGGUCGGAUUAGCUAGUUGGUGAGGUAAUGGCUCACCAAGGCGACGAUCCGUAACUGGUCUGAGAGGAUGAUCAGUCACACUGGAACUGAGACACGGUCCAGACUCCUACGGGAGGCAGCAGUGGGGAAUAUUGGACAAUGGGCGAAAGCCUGAUCCAGCCAUGCCGCGUGUGUGAA
RNAcentral lists this ribosomal RNA (399 nucleotides) under uncultured bacterium. Its description in RNAcentral is "bacterial SSU rRNA". It matches the Rfam family "Bacterial small subunit ribosomal RNA", at positions 9 to 409 of the family's 1533-position model. The record is from RNAcentral.